ACAUUCUGUGAAAGCAGAACUUCCGCCAAGGACACGAAACUAGGUGCUGCAUGGCUGUCGUCAGCUCGUGCCGUGAGGUGUUGGGUUAAGUCCCGUAACGAGCGCAACCCCUAUCAUUAGUUGCCAUCAGGUCAUGCUGGGGACUCUAAUGAGACUGCCCGCGCAAGCGGUGAGGAAGGUGGGGACGACGUCAAGUCAUCACGGCCCUUACGUCCAGGGCUACACACGUGCUACAAUGGUAGAUACAGCAGGUUGCCACAUGGUAACAUGGAGCUAAUCCCAAAAGUCUAUCUCAGUUCGGAUUGAGGUCUGCAACUCGACCUCAUGAAGCUGGAUUCGCUAGUAAUCGAAAAUCAGCAAUGUUUCGGUGAAUACGUUCCCGGGCCUU
Molecule: ribosomal RNA, 388 nt
Filed under: uncultured Sphingobacteriales bacterium
Lineage: Bacteria; Pseudomonadati; Bacteroidota; Sphingobacteriia; Sphingobacteriales
Description: bacterial SSU rRNA
Rfam family: Bacterial small subunit ribosomal RNA
Source: RNAcentral